GGCGGGCGACCCGCGCCGCUCGCUCGGAGCCUUUUUCGGAGGGGGGAGAGCAGGGAUUCCUCCUUAAUUCUCCCCAAACCCCUCUCGUUAUUUUUUCUUCCUCGCUGCAUCGGUGCAGAAGUGCCAGUUUUCCUCUCUAAAAAGUUUCCUUGAUGGGAUUAACUUUUCUUUUUUUUUAAAUCCCCCUUCUCCUUGAUUUAUUUCAUUCCCAGAGGUAACAGCCAGCGGGUGUUUUUGCUCGCGGUGAGGUGCUUGCUGUGGAAGUGGGUCUCUGUGCCGGGGUGCGUGGGUAUAAAUCGGAGAAGUCCGAACAAAGCCCCAGCGGCGGUUGCUUCGCUGUGGGAUGUUUGGAGGGGCUCUYGCUAACCGGUGCGCCCUGGCUGGCGUUAAAACAGAACCAAAAUGGAGAAGUUGGUUCUGACUUAAAAAAAGAUCGUAUUCCCGUCUUCCUUUCCCACAGCUCCAGCCCGCGGGGCUGGCACCAGCCGAUCUGCGGGCAGAAAGAUGACUGAUGUUUUGAGAAGGGAAAGUUUUGCUGUUUGGCUCAGGAGGGAGAGGGAAAUCWGCCUCGGGGAUUUUACAGCGCUGCUUGGGGUUGUAUUCCUGGGAUACAGAGGGAUGAAGGGGACUGAGGAGAUGCACCCCUAUUCUCGCUACUCGGGGAGCAGCAAUUGCAUUUCACUGUAAGGAGCUGGCACCAGCCGGUGACGGAGCUGAGGUGCCUGCGCCUCCGCCGCGCAGGGGAGCUUCGAUCCUGCGGGGAGCUGAGCCCGGUGGGGCUGCGCGCCUGGGGAAACGUGGUGUGUGUGGGGAGCGCCCUGGGCCCCAGUGCUGCCUACCAGGGGGGCUGGGAAGCAGAGGAUGCGCUGGGAUUUCUGACAAAAAGCAAAAGUGUCACCCGAAAAAAGAAAAAAAGGAACAGCCGACGCAGAAAGCCCGGCAGGGGAAACGUUUCUCCCACGAGAACCUGUGUCUCGCUCUCCGGAACAGCCGUAAAAUUKCAGGGGAAACAAAGGAGCUGAAGAAACAAAUUUCAGCAGACUGUGACAAGGGAAGGAGCUGCAUCUUGGCUCCAUGUUAA
RNAcentral lists this long non-coding RNA (1081 nucleotides) under Dromaius novaehollandiae (emu). RNAcentral describes it as "lncRNA (ENSDNVG00000015815.1)". The record is from RNAcentral. Lineage: Eukaryota; Metazoa; Chordata; Aves; Casuariiformes; Dromaiidae.